Molecule: transfer RNA, 69 nt
Filed under: Ramulus hainanensis
Lineage: Eukaryota; Metazoa; Arthropoda; Insecta; Phasmatodea; Phasmatidae
Description: Ramulus hainanense tRNA-Val
Source: RNAcentral
CAGGACUUAGUUUAUAGAAAAUACUUUAUUUACAUUAAAGUGAUUUAAAUGCGAAAUUUUAAGUUUUGA